AUAGGAUUGGAAAGGAGACAAAGUAGAUCCGGAGGUUAGAGAGGCCACUUUGAGGAGUGUCAACCUGCCCUUAGAUUAGUUGCUUUUCUUCCAACUAGACCACUCUUCCAUUUUUUGUAAUAUGAGGUUCUGAAAUCCCUUGUCACAUAUAGUUGCAUGAUGGAAGCCCAAGAUAUUUAAUCAGAAAGCAUGCAACCUUACAAACGAGGACCUGGACGAACACCUCCAGACCAACACUGUUCAGUUAACUUUAAGGUCGCAGAUAGCUUGAAAACAAAAAAGAGCACAACAGAUGUCAAUUAGAGCUUUUAUCAAGUUCAUAGACAAAAUCAUAUGAUUUGCAAAUGUAAGACGAGAUAUAUGAUCUACUGUUAUGUUCUUGAGACCAGGAUGUUGUCACCGGGCAGUUCACUAGAUAAUUUGCUUCUGGAUCUUGCUUUUUUCCCUUGUUAUGAUUCCUUGAGCGAUCUAUUGUGAAUUAUUUUCAAACUCAUCAAAGGAAUUUUGACACCUUGGAUCUCGUAUAGAGAACUCCGAUCUCUAUAUUGUAAUUAUAAUUUUGCUUACCUCUUUAUUAGUUUUAGAGCCCUUUAAAUAGGAGUAGAUGCUUAAUUAGAAAAAUUUUUUAAUUUAGGUUUCUCAUAAAAAAAAAAUAAAGAAAAUUCCUAAUUAAGAAAUAAGUCUCCAAAAUAAAAAUUAAAUUUCUAAAUAAAAGAUAAAUUUUUCUAACUAAUAAGUUUCCAAAAUAGAAUAAAGUUAAACCAUAUCAGCUCCUUAUUUUCCUUUUCUGUAAUAAGAAUAGCCCACAAAAGAGUUUAUAAUAUCACCCUCCCCUUGAAAAGAAAACUUGUCCUCAAGCUCAAAGUCUGGAUAAGCAGUCUGGAAAUGUUCAUGGGUGUCCCAAGUAGCAUCACUUGCAUCCGCUCUGUUCCAAUACACUAGAAAUUCCCAGGUAUCUCUACUGAGUCGGGUGCGCAAAACUAAAGCUGGAGUGGGGGUAACACGACCAUCUUCCACUGGAGGUAGCGAGGGAAUUGAGGCUGGAGGUCUCUUUCUAUAAGGUUUGAGAAGGGAAACAUGGAAGAUGUUAUGAAGCUUGGACUAAGCUGGUAGUUGAAGCUUGUACGCAACAGUGCCGACACACUGUAGAAUGGAAAAUGGACUAUAAAACUUUGGAAACAGCUUAUGGUGGGGUGCCGAUGAGAUAGAGUGCUGGCGAUAUGGUUGCAGACAGAGCCACAUAAGAUCCUCUACCUCAUAGGUUACAUCCUGAUGCCCCUUGUCAUAGAAUUCCUUCAUACGUGUCUGUGCCUGUUGCAGUUUAGCUGGGAUCUCGGUCAAGACUUGAUCCUUGGUAAGUAAGGCGUCAUCUACUGCAUCAACUUGAGAGGACCUAGGUAUGUA
RNAcentral lists this long non-coding RNA (1404 nucleotides) under Carica papaya (papaya). RNAcentral's name for it is "long non-coding RNA (CPAP_LNC004860)". Lineage: Eukaryota; Viridiplantae; Streptophyta; Magnoliopsida; Brassicales; Caricaceae. The record is from RNAcentral.